This 1572-nucleotide ribosomal RNA is filed under the name Escherichia coli. Its description in RNAcentral is "partial 23S ribosomal RNA". It matches the Rfam family "Bacterial large subunit ribosomal RNA", at positions 1291 to 2843 of the family's 2925-position model. Lineage: Bacteria; Pseudomonadati; Pseudomonadota; Gammaproteobacteria; Enterobacterales; Enterobacteriaceae. The record is from RNAcentral.
CGAAUGCUGACAUAAGUAACGAUAAAGCGGGUGAAAAGCCCGCUCGCCGGAAGACCAAGGGUUCCUGUCCAACGUUAAUCGGGGCAGGGUGAGUCGACCCCUAAGGCGAGGCCGAAAGGCGUAGUCGAUGGGAAACAGGUUAAUAUUCCUGUACUUGGUGUUACUGCGAAGGGGGGACGGAGAAGGCUAUGUUGGCCGGGCGACGGUUGUCCCGGUUUAAGCGUGUAGGCUGGUUUUCCAGGCAAAUCCGGAAAAUCAAGGCUGAGGCGUGAUGACGAGGCACUACGGUGCUGAAGCAACAAAUGCCCUGCUUCCAGGAAAAGCCUCUAAGCAUCAGGUAACAUCAAAUCGUACCCCAAACCGACACAGGUGGUCAGGUAGAGAAUACCAAGGCGCUUGAGAGAACUCGGGUGAAGGAACUAGGCAAAAUGGUGCCGUAACUUCGGGAGAAGGCACGCUGAUACGUAGGUGAAGUCCCUCGCGGAUGGAGCUGAAAUCAGUCGAAGAUACCAGCUGGCUGCAACUGUUUAUUAAAAACACAGCACUGUGCAAACACGAAAGUGGACGUAUACGGUGUGACGCCUGCCCGGUGCCGGAAGGUUAAUUGAUGGGGUCAGCGCAAGCGAAGCUCUUGAUCGAAGCCCCGGUAAACGGCGGCCGUAACUAUAACGGUCCUAAGGUAGCGAAAUUCCUUGUCGGGUAAGUUCCGACCUGCACGAAUGGCGUAAUGAUGGCCAGGCUGUCUCCACCCGAGACUCAGUGAAAUUGAACUCGCUGUGAAGAUGCAGUGUACCCGCGGCAAGACGGAAAGACCCCGUGAACCUUUACUAUAGCUUGACACUGAACAUUGAGCCUUGAUGUGUAGGAUAGGUGGGAGGCUUUGAAGUGUGGACGCCAGUCUGCAUGGAGCCGACCUUGAAAUACCACCCUUUAAUGUUUGAUGUUCUAACGUUGACCCGUAAUCCGGGUUGCGGACAGUGUCUGGUGGGUAGUUUGACUGGGGCGGUCUCCUCCUAAAGAGUAACGGAGGAGCACGAAGGUUGGCUAAUCCUGGUCGGACAUCAGGAGGUUAGUGCAAUGGCAUAAGCCAGCUUGACUGCGAGCGUGACGGCGCGAGCAGGUGCGAAAGCAGGUCAUAGUGAUCCGGUGGUUCUGAAUGGAAGGGCCAUCGCUCAACGGAUAAAAGGUACUCCGGGGAUAACAGGCUGAUACCGCCCAAGAGUUCAUAUCGACGGCGGUGUUUGGCACCUCGAUGUCGGCUCAUCACAUCCUGGGGCUGAAGUAGGUCCCAAGGGUAUGGCUGUUCGCCAUUUAAAGUGGUACGCGAGCUGGGUUUAGAACGUCGUGAGACAGUUCGGUCCCUAUCUGCCGUGGGCGCUGGAGAACUGAGGGGGGCUGCUCCUAGUACGAGAGGACCGGAGUGGACGCAUCACUGGUGUUCGGGUUGUCAUGCCAAUGGCACUGCCCGGUAGCUAAAUGCGGAAGAGAUAAGUGCUGAAAGCAUCUAAGCACGAAACUUGCCCCGAGAUGAGUUCUCCCUGACUCCUUGAGAGUCCUGAAGGAACGUUGAAG